AUUGAACGCUGGCGGCAUGCUUUACACAUGCAAGUCGAACGGUAACAGGUUAAGCUGACGAGUGGCGAACGGGUGAGUAAUGCAUCGGAACGUGCCCGGUCGUGGGGGAUAACGCAGCGAAAGCUGCGCUAAUACCGCAUACGAUCUGAGGAUGAAAGCGGGGGACCGUAAGGCCUCGCGCGAUCGCAGCGGCCGAGGUCAGAUUAGGUAGUUGGUGGGGUAAAGGCUCACCAGGCCAACGAUCUGUAGCUGGUCUGAGAGGACGACCAGCCACACUGGGACUGAGACACGGCCCAGACUCCUACGGGAGGCAGCAGUGGGGAAUUUUGGACAAUGGGCGAAAGCCUGAUCCAGCAAUGCCGCGUGCAGGAAGAAGGCCUUCGGGUUGUAAACUGCUUUUGUACGGAGCGAAAAGGUCUCCUCUAAUACAGGGGGCUCAUGACGGUACCGUAAGAAUAAGCACCGGCUAACUACGUGCCAGCCGCCGCAAGUAA
Molecule: ribosomal RNA, 494 nt
Filed under: uncultured bacterium
Lineage: Bacteria
Description: partial 16S ribosomal RNA
Rfam family: Bacterial small subunit ribosomal RNA
Source: RNAcentral